Molecule: ribosomal RNA, 251 nt
Filed under: uncultured bacterium
Lineage: Bacteria
Description: partial 16S ribosomal RNA
Rfam family: Bacterial small subunit ribosomal RNA
Source: RNAcentral
UACGUAGGUGGCAAGCGUUGUCCGGAAUUAUUGGGCGUAAAGCGCGCGCAGGCGGUCCUUUAAGUCUGAUGUGAAAGCCCACGGCUCAACCGUGGAGGGUCAUUGGAAACUGGGGGACUUGAGUCAGAGAGAAGAGUGGAAUUCCACGUGUAGCGGUGAAAUGCGUAGAGAUGUGGAGGAACACCAGUGGCGAAGGCGACUCUUUGGCCUGUAACUGACGCUGAGGCGCGAAAGCGUGGGGAGCAAACAGG